RNAcentral lists this transfer RNA (71 nucleotides) under Ovis aries (sheep). It matches the Rfam family "tRNA". Rfam says of the family: Transfer RNA (tRNA) molecules are approximately 80 nucleotides in length. Their secondary structure includes four short double-helical elements and three loops (D, anti-codon, and T loops). Lineage: Eukaryota; Metazoa; Chordata; Mammalia; Artiodactyla; Bovidae. The record is from Rfam by way of RNAcentral.
UCCCUGGUGGCUCAGUGGUAAAGAAUCUACCUGCAAUGCAGGAGACCCAGGUUCGAUUCUUGGGUUGGGAA